This 301-nucleotide ribosomal RNA is filed under the name uncultured bacterium. RNAcentral describes it as "partial 16S ribosomal RNA". It matches the Rfam family "Bacterial small subunit ribosomal RNA", at positions 509 to 807 of the family's 1533-position model. The record is from RNAcentral.
CAGUAGCCGCGGGAAUACGUAGGGUGCGAGCGUUAAUCGGAAUUACUGGGCGUAAAGCGUGCGCAGGCGGUUGUGUAAGACAGGUGUGAAAUCCCCGGGCUUAACCUGGGAACUGCGCUUGUGACUGCACAGCUAGAGUAUGGCAGAGGGGGGUGGAAUUCCACGUGUAGCAGUGAAAUGCGUAGAGAUGUGGAGGAACACCGAUGGCGAAGGCAGCCCCCUGGGCCAAUACUGACGCUCAUGCACGAAAGCGUGGGGAGCAAACAGGAUUAGAUACCCCUGUAGUCCCUGUCUCUUAUAC